AUUAGCCCUCAGCUAACUACUGCCAGUCCUCCUCUUUUUGCUGAGGAAGCCUGGCUCUGAGCUACCUUCCGUGCCCAUCUUCCUCUAGUUUAUACGUGGGACGCCUACCACAGCAUGGCAUGCCAAGCAGUGCCAUGUCCGCACCCGGGAUCUGAACCAGCGAACCCGGGGCUGCAGAGAAGCGGAACGUGCGAACUUAACCGCUGCGUCACCGGGCCGGCCCCUGAAUACAUUCUUUCUUGCUCCAGAGUUAUAUGAUGUCAAUCAUAGGAGUUGACAUGUGGCCAACUGUGGCAUCCUAGCCCAGCUUAACAGCUAAAGAAGUCCUGAAGAAGAAAAUGCAUCUCACAAUAAGAUGAAACUAAAGAUGAAAGAGAGUGAUUUUUCUAACCCCUGUUUGAGCGAAGACUCCCCCACAACCUAAAAGAUCAAUCAUAUGGAAAACAGAAAGUUUUUCAGCACAAGGAUGACUUCUCAAUAGAGAAUGAAGAAAAAGUGCAGGAGAAGGAGACAUGUCCACCGUGCGAUGAAUGGAUUCUCAAGAAAAAAUAUAAAGUGCCUAGAAGAUAUUGC
Molecule: long non-coding RNA, 573 nt
Filed under: Equus caballus (horse)
Lineage: Eukaryota; Metazoa; Chordata; Mammalia; Perissodactyla; Equidae
Description: lncRNA (ENSECAG00000045083.1)
Source: RNAcentral